UUGAUCCUGGCUCAGAAUCAACGCUGGCGGCGUGCCUAACACAUGCAAGUCGAACGCGAAAGUCCCGCAAGGGAUGAGUAGAGUGGCAAACGGGUGAGUUACACGUGGGUGACCUGCCUUCGAGUGGGGGAUAACGUCCCGAAAGGGACUCUAAUACCGCAUAAUAUCCUGCCUUUUAAGAGGUGGAGCUCAAAGCUGGUGAUCGCAAGACCUAGCGCUUGAAGAGGGGCCCGCGCCUGAUUAGCUAGUUGGUGAGGUAACGGCUCACCAAGGCUUCGAUCAGUAUCCGGCCUGAGAGGUCGGACGGACACACUGGGACUGAGACACGGCCCAGACUCCUACGGGAGGCUGCAGUGGGGAAUUGUUCGCAAUGGGCGCAAGCCUGACGACGCAACGCCGUGUGGAGGAUGAAGACCUUCGGGUCGUAAACUCCUUUCGAUCGAGACGAAUGGCCUCCGGGUGAACAAUCCGGAGGAAUGACGGUACCGAGAGAAGAAGCUCCGGCUAACUCCGUGCCAGCAGCCGCGGUAU
RNAcentral lists this ribosomal RNA (531 nucleotides) under uncultured Acidobacteriota bacterium. RNAcentral's name for it is "bacterial SSU rRNA". It matches the Rfam family "Bacterial small subunit ribosomal RNA", at positions 13 to 523 of the family's 1533-position model. The record is from RNAcentral. Lineage: Bacteria; Pseudomonadati; Acidobacteriota.